Molecule: unclassified non-coding RNA, 468 nt
Filed under: uncultured Glomus
Lineage: Eukaryota; Fungi; Glomeromycota; Glomeromycetes; Glomerales; Glomeraceae
Description: SSU rRNA
Rfam family: Eukaryotic small subunit ribosomal RNA
Source: RNAcentral
AGCAGCCGCGGUAAUUCCAGCUCCAAUAGCGUAUAUUAAAGUUGCUGCAGUUAAAAAGCUCGUAGUUGAAUUUCGGGACUAAUAUGUCGGUCGUGCCUCGGUACGUACUGGUUUAUUGGUUUCUCCUUUCUGAAGAACCAUGAUGUCAUUUAUUUGGUGUCGUGGGGAAUCAGGACUGUUACUUUGAAAAAAUUAGAGUGUUUAAAGCAGGCUCACGCUUGAAUACAUUAGCAUGGAAUAAUGAAAUAGGACGUUUGAUUCUAUUUUGUUGGUUUCUAGGAUCGACGUAAUGAUUAAUAGGGAUAGUUGGGGGCAUUAGUAUUCAAUUGUCAGAGGUGAAAUUCUUGGAUUUAUUGAAGACUAACUACUGCGAAAGCAUUUGCCAAGGAUGUUUUCAUUAAUCAAGAACGAAAGUUAGGGGAUCGAAGACGAUCAGAUACCGUCGUAGUCUUAACCAUAAACUAUGCC